ACACUGACGUCGCGACGCAUAUCAAUAAGCGGAGGAAAAGAAACUAACAAGGAUUCCCUUAGUAACGGCGAGUGAAGCGGGAAGAGCUCAAAUUUGAAAUCUUAAAGGGUUUCCCUUUACGAAUUGUAGUUUAAAGAAGUGUUUUCUGUUGGAGUUUCGGUAAAAGUUCUUUGGAAUAGGACAUCAUAGAGGGUGAGAAUCCCGUAUUUGACCGUUACUUUCCAGCUGUGUGAUACACUUUCAAAGAGUCGGAUUGUUUGGGAAUGCAGUCCAAAAUGGGUGGUAAAUUUCAUCUAAAGCUAAAUAUUGGCGAGAGACCGAUAGCGAACAAGUACCGUGAGGGAAAGAUGAAAAGAACUUUGAAAAGAGAGUUAAACAGUACGUGAAAUUGUCAAAAGGGAAGCGUUUGACACCAGUGUUGUUUAGUUGAAAAUCAAUUCAAUAGUUUUUGAUUCUAAGUAGUAUUGACCUUAUCAGCUUGCUGCUUUCUUCUCAGAAAUUAUUGAAUGCACUUUUCAGUUAACAAGUCAACAUCAAUUUCUUUUGUUGUAAAAAGGGUAUGAGGAAGGUGGCUUUCUUUUCGGAGAAAGUGUUUAUAGCCUUGUACCUCUGCAAUCGGAGAGAUUGAGGUCUGCAGCGUAGAUCCUUCGGGGUUAGAUACAUUUGUGCUAAGUUAUAGCUUUUCAUAGACAACUUGUUGACUAUGUUAAGUCUUGUAGCUUACUCGCUUAUGCUAUUUUACCUACGCUUAGGAUGUUGACACACGCGCGUGCUCG
Molecule: ribosomal RNA, 776 nt
Filed under: uncultured Neocallimastigales
Lineage: Eukaryota; Fungi; Neocallimastigomycota; Neocallimastigomycetes; Neocallimastigales
Description: partial large subunit ribosomal RNA
Rfam family: Eukaryotic large subunit ribosomal RNA
Source: RNAcentral